GCCUUCGUGGUGUAUUGGUCAGCACACUCGACUCGUAACCGAGAGGUCCGUGGAUGGAUUCCCGGCGAAAACG
Non-coding RNA from Stegodyphus mimosarum, 73 nucleotides. NCBI's taxonomy places the organism in Eukaryota, Metazoa, Arthropoda, Arachnida, Araneae, Eresidae. The record is from Rfam.